CCAAAAAAAAGAACUCUCUGAGUCCAAGCC
RNAcentral lists this non-coding RNA (30 nucleotides) under Mus musculus (house mouse). Lineage: Eukaryota; Metazoa; Chordata; Mammalia; Rodentia; Muridae. The record is from RNAcentral.